Molecule: ribosomal RNA, 627 nt
Filed under: Triticum aestivum (bread wheat)
Lineage: Eukaryota; Viridiplantae; Streptophyta; Magnoliopsida; Poales; Poaceae
Description: partial small subunit ribosomal RNA
Source: RNAcentral
AUGGUGCCUAAAGCGAGCAGGAGAAAGGAGGCGCCCAAGGCGAGCGAGGGGAAAGAGGUGCCAGAGAGCGAGUUGGUGAAGAUGCGGAGGGAGAACGUCGUCUUCGCUCCGACACUCUAUGUGCCCGCUCUGAAGGAGUCGUAUCUGUGUAUGUGGGGGAGAGCGACAACGGGGCAUCCUGCUACCCGCGUCAUCCUGGCUUCUUGCGCCGAGCCCGCCCUAGAUAAAUUCCCUUUCUUUGUCGAUUACUUCUACUGCAGGCUCUACCCCCCAUUUUCUGAUUUCUUCAACGACAUCAUGUACACAUUUGGCUUCCACAUCUUGGAUUUCACACCGAAUGUUGUGGCAUGUAUGUCCACCUUCGCCCACCUCUGUGAGAAUUUUGCCGGAGUGGUCCCCAAUACGGCCCUUUUUCGCCAUUACUUCGUUCCCUGCAUCCAGCCAGGAGGGGCCCUUUCUGGCUGUGUCACCUGGAUUCCAAGGGCACUGACCAAGAAGACAUACCCAGACGGGGCCCACCGCGAGAAGUGGGACGAAUGGCGGGGCAAGUGGUGCUCGGUCAUGGAGAAGGACUUAUAUGUCUCCAACGUAUCUAUAAUUUUUGAUUGUUCCAUGCUAUUAUAUUAA